AAUGAACGCUGGCGGCAUGCCUAACACAUGCAAGUCGAACGAAGGCUUCGGCCUUAGUGGCGCACGGGUGCGUAACGCGUGGGAAUCUGCCCUCAGGUUCGGAAUAACAGCGAGAAAUUGCUGCUAAUACCGGAUGAUAUCGCGAGAUCAAAGAUUUAUCGCCUGAGGAUGAGCCCGCGUAGGAUUAGCUAGUUGGUGAGGUAAAAGCUCACCAAGGCGACGAUCUGUAGCUGGUCUGAGAGGAUGAUCAGCCACACUGGAACUGAGACACGGUCCAGACUCCUACGGGAGGCAGCAGUGGGGAAUAUUGGACAAUGGGCGCAAGCCUGAUCCAGCCAUGCCGCGUGAGUGAUGAAGGCCUUAGGGUUGUAAAGCUCUUUCAGUGGGGACGAUAAUGACGGUACCCGCAGAAGAAGCCCCGGCUAACUUCGUGCCAGCAGCCGCCGUAA
RNAcentral lists this ribosomal RNA (449 nucleotides) under uncultured bacterium. RNAcentral's name for it is "partial 16S ribosomal RNA". It matches the Rfam family "Bacterial small subunit ribosomal RNA", at positions 29 to 523 of the family's 1533-position model. The record is from RNAcentral.